CCUACGGGAGGCAGCAGUGGGGAAUAUUGGACAAUGGGGGGAACCCUGAUCCAGCGACGCCGCGUGAGUGAAGAAGUAUUUCGGUAUGUAAAGCUCUAUCAGCAGGGAAGAAAAUGACGGUACCUGACUAAGAAGCCCCGGCUAACUACGUGCCAGCAGCCGCGGUAAUACGUAGGGGGCAAGCGUUAUCCGGAUAUACUGGGGGUAAAGGGAGCGUAGACGGUGCAGCAAGUCUGAUGUGAAAGGUCGGGGCCCAACCCCGGGACUGCAUUGGAAACUGUUGAACUGGAGUACAGGAGAGGUAAGCGGAAUUCCUAGUGUAGCGGUGGAAUGCGUAGAUAUUAGGAGGAACACCAGUGGCGAAGGCGGCUUACUGGACUGUAACUGACGUUGAGGCUCGAAAGCGUGGGGAGUAAACAGGAUUAGAUACCCCUGUAGUC
Molecule: ribosomal RNA, 440 nt
Filed under: uncultured bacterium
Lineage: Bacteria
Description: partial 16S ribosomal RNA
Rfam family: Bacterial small subunit ribosomal RNA
Source: RNAcentral